RNAcentral lists this transfer RNA (70 nucleotides) under Lutjanus apodus (schoolmaster snapper). RNAcentral's name for it is "tRNA-Pro". It matches the Rfam family "tRNA". From Rfam's summary of the family: Transfer RNA (tRNA) molecules are approximately 80 nucleotides in length. Their secondary structure includes four short double-helical elements and three loops (D, anti-codon, and T loops). RNAcentral also lists the same sequence under 1 other name. Lineage: Eukaryota; Metazoa; Chordata; Actinopteri; Lutjaniformes; Lutjanidae. The record is from RNAcentral.
CAAAGAGUAGUUUAAUUUAGAAUACUAGCUUUGGGAGUUAGUGGUAGGGGUUAAAAUCCCUUCUCUUUGA